CAGGUGUCAAACUCUAGUCCUUGAGGGCUGCUGUCUUACAACUUUGAGGUCUGUCUUUCUGUUAACACCUGAUUACGAAAGUUAAGAGGUUUUAUGAGCGGAGGAAAGUUUCGUGUUCUUCCAGGAUUUCAGCCUCGCAGAACUCCUCAGACUUGGAAAUGUCAUUCUGGUGUUACCUUCAUAAUGCAGACAGGCUGAAUGAAUAUUAAUGGUUUCUGGACAUGUCAAAUCUGCUGGACUCAGUUUGGAAACUUAUUUCUUCGUACAUGGGAAGCCGACAUCAUACCAAAACUCAAAGACAUGGACGAAGAUCUACUGCCUCCUGUUGGUGCAAGUCAUCUUAGUGCCAAUGCAAUAUUAUACAUUUUGGAUUUUGUGGUGCCUGGUACAAGCCUAGUAUUGCUCGGCUUCACGAAGCCAUCAUCCCCAGUUGAUCUACAUCUGCGAACUGAAUUCACUGACACAGUACGACACCGAUAUCAAGAACAACAAAGUCCCCAUCCCUCUACAUCUGGUCUCAUGAAUGCUGUGGACAAGCUUUUCAAACUCUACUUGCUGCGUCCUAUCCACCAGAACUCCACCCCUGUCUUUACGUUACAUAUUUACAAUCAACUGUUCUCCAUACAAAGAAAAGCACCCGUACUAGAACUGAUUGGACAACCUGAAGCUGGCAAGUAAAAUGUUCAAUUGUCCAAAACGUAGAGAGACUGCUUUCAAAGAGGUGUGGGGCUUCAAGAUAACAAUAUCUUGUACUUUGGUUGACGACUGCUGGACUGUAAAUGCAUGUUGCCAUUUGACUGCAACAUGCAGUAUGGAUUUUAAAAUCUGUGGUGUGGCAUAACUUUAGAAAAUGGGUAUAUUUUGUUAGCUUGACUUUGAA
Molecule: long non-coding RNA, 880 nt
Organism: Xiphophorus couchianus (Monterrey platyfish)
Lineage: Eukaryota; Metazoa; Chordata; Actinopteri; Cyprinodontiformes; Poeciliidae
Exons: 6
Source: RefSeq, a predicted model, not a curated record